CGUGUAGGCGGCCUGCUAAGUCUGAUGUGAAAGCCCGAGGCUCACCCUCGGAAGUGCAUUGGAAACUGGCAGACUGGAGUCCCGGAGAGGAGGGUGGAAUUCCUGGUGUAGCGGUGAAAUGCGUAGAUAUCAGGAGGAACACCGGUGGCGAAGGCGGCCCUCUGGACGGUGACUGACGCUGAGACGCGAAAGCGUGGGGAGCAAACAGGAUUAGAUACCCUGGUAGUCCACGCUGUAAACGAUGAGCACUAGGUGUCGCGGGUAUUGACCCCUGCGGUGCCGCCGCUAACGCAUUAAGUGCUCCGCCUGGGGACUACGGCCGCAAGGUUAAA
Molecule: ribosomal RNA, 332 nt
Filed under: uncultured bacterium
Lineage: Bacteria
Also listed under: 1 other name
Description: bacterial SSU rRNA
Rfam family: Bacterial small subunit ribosomal RNA
Source: RNAcentral